CUCUAACCCUGCUGGAGGCAGGGCUAUAUCUUUUAUUGGUUUUACAGCGGCCCGCAUCCAUAGGAACACCGCACUCGCUGGGGAAGGGGCCGGCGCAUCUGGCCGUGAUCAGCAGCAACUUAGGUAAGUUUAUUCUUUUGUUUAAGUGGCUGCACCAAUCGAGGGAAAAUUAAGGGAAUGAUGACCGGAAUCUAGCCCUAACCCUAGUAGGGGUACAGUUGGGGUUAGGUUAGGGAUAGGCG
Molecule: non-coding RNA, 242 nt
Organism: Pelobates cultripes (western spadefoot toad)
Lineage: Eukaryota; Metazoa; Chordata; Amphibia; Anura; Pelobatidae
Source: the annotation of a GenBank genome assembly